This 258-nucleotide ribosomal RNA is filed under the name uncultured bacterium. RNAcentral describes it as "partial 16S ribosomal RNA". It matches the Rfam family "Bacterial small subunit ribosomal RNA", at positions 524 to 776 of the family's 1533-position model. The record is from RNAcentral.
UACGUAGGGUGCAGGCGUUUAAUCGGAAUUACUGGGCGUAAAGCGUGCGCAGGCGGUUUUGUAAGUCUGUCGUGAAAUCCCCGGGCUUAACCUGGGAAUUGCGCUUGAAACUAGCGGGCUUGAGUGUGGCAGAGAGGGGUGGAAUUCCACGUGUAGCAGGUAGAAAUGACGUAGAGAUCCGGAGGAACACCGGUGGCGAAGGCGGGUCUGCUGGGCCGUAACUGACGCUGAGGAGCGAAAGCAUGGGGAGCGAACAGG